AUUAGGUCUAUGGCGUGCUGGACAGCUUGUACGAUAUAUAUCGAGUGCCUUGGGUCCUUGCGGACAGCGUGCCGUAGACGA
RNAcentral lists this ribosomal RNA (81 nucleotides) under Aureoumbra lagunensis. Its description in RNAcentral is "partial Trypanosomatid mitochondrial large subunit ribosomal RNA". Lineage: Eukaryota; Pelagophyceae; Sarcinochrysidales; Sarcinochrysidaceae. The record is from RNAcentral.